AAUACCCAAUGAUAUCUCUAGAAGACAUCUGAAAGAGAUUAAAGAUUUAUCGGUGAUGGACGGGGAUGCGUCUGAUUAGCUUGUUGGCGGGGUAACGGCCCACCAAGGCAACGAUCAGUAGGGGUUCUGAGAGGAAGGUCCCCCACAUUGGAACUGAGACACGGUCCAAACUCCUAUGGGAGGCAGCAGUGAGGAAUAUUGGUCAAUGGACGAGAGUCUGAACCAGCCAAGUAGCGUGCAGGAUGACGGCCCUAUGGGUUGUAAACCGCUUUUAUAAGGGAAUAAAGUGAGUCUCGUGAGAUUUUUUGCAUGUACCUUAUGAAUAAGGACCGGCUAAUUCCGUGCCUGCAGCCGCGGUAAUACGGAAGGUCCGGGCGUUAUCCGGAUUUAUUGGGUUUAAAGGGAGCGUAGGCCGGAGAUUAAGCGUGUUGUGAAAUGUAGAUGCUCAACAUCUGCACUGCAGCGCGAACUGGUUUCCUUGAGUACGCACAAAGUGGGCGGAAUUCGUGGUGUAGCGGUGAAAUGCUUAGAUAUCACGAAGAACUCCGAUUGCGAAGGCAGCUCACUGGAGCGCAACUGACGCUGAAGCUCGAAAGUGCGGGUAUCGAACAGGAUUAGAUACCC
This 624-nucleotide ribosomal RNA is filed under the name uncultured bacterium. RNAcentral describes it as "bacterial SSU rRNA". It matches the Rfam family "Bacterial small subunit ribosomal RNA", at positions 165 to 787 of the family's 1533-position model. The record is from RNAcentral.